CGGCAAGUCAAUCUACAGAGAGCAACCGGCUCUUAACCGGUGGGUUCAGGGUUCGAGUCCCUGACGGCCCACCA
RNAcentral lists this transfer RNA (74 nucleotides) under Frankia sp. Hr75.2. RNAcentral describes it as "Pseudo tRNA". It matches the Rfam family "tRNA", at positions 16 to 71 of the family's 71-position model. Rfam says of the family: Transfer RNA (tRNA) molecules are approximately 80 nucleotides in length. Their secondary structure includes four short double-helical elements and three loops (D, anti-codon, and T loops). Lineage: Bacteria; Bacillati; Actinomycetota; Actinomycetes; Frankiales; Frankiaceae. The record is from RNAcentral.